This 354-nucleotide long non-coding RNA is filed under the name Nicotiana benthamiana. Its description in RNAcentral is "long non-coding RNA (NBEN_LNC017137)". The record is from RNAcentral. Lineage: Eukaryota; Viridiplantae; Streptophyta; Magnoliopsida; Solanales; Solanaceae.
GAAUAGAGGUAUUUGGAUCAAGAUGAGAUAAUGAUGCAUUUUUCCACAAAAUUUCACCAACUUCUCCCCCUAAUUUUGGGAAAAGUUGCUUUUCCGGUGUCGUGUGUGUGGUACAUGAAUGUGGUGCAUAAAUGAAUGAACAUAUAGAAGUGGAAACUAUAUUGUGCAGUAGUUACAAAGGUGCACGCAUGUAUAUUACGGACAUAUACACAGGUAAUACAGUGAAUAGAUGACAGCUAUCAUAAAACUCAAGUAGUGUAUGUAAUAUGUAAAGAAUGUGUAAAAGUUAUGUGAUGAAUAAUUUAGCACAUUAUCAUGGACGAUCACAUAAUUACAAAUUUGGAACUAAGCNNN